CAAAUUAUUGUUUACAUUCUUUCUCUCCUAGGGAACAGAACUGUGAGUGAGAACAACCAAGGAUUGUGGGAAUCAUUUCAGCAGUAACGAUAGUAUUUGUUUCUGGACUGACAGAGCCUUUCCCUUUCCCAAGUAGAUUCGUCCGGGUCACCCACAGUCAGAAGCAGAAUUUAUAGUCUCCUCCACCAAGUGGGCUUGGUGUGCAACUUAUGGAGGCACCAAUACUGGCCUAUCUGCCUUUUCCGUUGUCAGCGUUGACUUUAUCACCAUUGAGCCACUGAACUGACCAUCUUGCUCUCACCAAAGUGGGGAGAGCUUUUUGAGGCCCACUGCGUCCUGUGCAAAGAGUGCUUCUGGAAGUCUCCACUUGGGACCAUCGAUACAUGCUAUUCUACCUGUUUGCUUUGAUGCCUUCAAUUGUCUAGCUAGCCCUUUCUUCAGUGGCGUGGUUGGAUUCCAAGAGUUUCUCCUGUUGAAGAUCCCUUUAGGGAGUCUCCUGGCUUUCUUUUGCAGAACACUUUCAGCAAAUUUUUAUUUUCCUCUGCUGCCUCCACCUCACCCCAUACAA
RNAcentral lists this long non-coding RNA (568 nucleotides) under Felis catus (domestic cat). Its description in RNAcentral is "lncRNA (ENSFCAG00000052866.1)". Lineage: Eukaryota; Metazoa; Chordata; Mammalia; Carnivora; Felidae. The record is from RNAcentral.